GCCUGAUCAAGGCUCACCACAGCCUCAACCUUCUUGGCUCAAGUGAUCAUCUCACCUCAGCCUCCAGAGUAGCUGAAGUACAGCUAUGAGUUCCUUAACAGCAGGUUUGUCAGGAGUUCCUAAGACUAUCCCCAGGUUCAGUGAUUCACUUGAAGGACUCACAGGACUCACCAUUGAGUUGCAGCACAGGGAAAAGACACACGGAGAGAAGUUUGGAAGAAACCAGCUCAAAGAGUCCCAGGUGUGCUGGUGCCUAACCCUGGCUGCCAAUCAGAAUUACCUAGGGGCACGUUCGAGAACUUCCCAGGGGAUGUCUAACUUCUAGCAUAACAGAGUGAGAAGGCUCACAAAUCCUCUUCCCACAAAGCAACUAUAAAGCUGGUCAAGAGUCAAAAACAACCUAGUUGGUGCUCUGGAAAGCAAGCAAGACAUUCAACAAACUGAGAAGUGUUUAUUCAUGAAACCCACUGGACUCCAGCACUUCUCCCGAUGUUACAGCUCCUCUACAAUCAACAGCGGAAUGAGAGGGGAGAAAAAAAUCAUACCAGUCUCAUGAGAGCUAAAAUGACCCUCCCAAGAUGAAAGAGCAAGCUACAAGAGAACCAAGGUCUCCAGACUCUAGCGUCUCCCCAGUGAUAGCACAGCCAUUAUUCCUCAGGAAAAGAAAACCAUGAACAGCAUCUGGAGAGGUCAAUCACUUCCACAACCACCCUGCCUGUCCCUUCUGAGAAGGGACCAAAUCCUACCAUUCCAGAGCAAGGCUGCUCAUGUGUAAUCUCCGGAGUCCUUUCUGGAUCUUCUCUAUGACUUAAUCCAAACAGUGAGACAUCUGUUUGAAUUCCACCAUUCCACAACAUACCUAACCCUCAACAGGACUCGCUUUUAGAAAAUGGUUUCAAAGUAACUUAAGUUCCACACUGUGAAUCUACAUUUUCUGGCUAUUUAUAAAUUUGUUGCCAGUUGCCUCAAGUUUACUUUAAUCAACUGUAAUAGACCAAAAUAUAUAAGUUAAGCCUACGACAUCCUCCCCUAUGAUGCAGUCAAUGUUAGGGGUAUUUUAGUGAGCUCAGUUUUUUUUUUUUAAGAGAUGGGUCUCACUAUGUUGCCCAGGCUGGUCUCGAACUCCUGGUCUUAUGGGAUCCUCCCACCUUGGCCUCCCAAAGUGCUGGGAUUACAGGCGUGAGCCACCGCACCCCGCCAGUGAGCACAGCUGACAACAAGCUGCUUUUCAGGUCCGUGAUAAAAGGAAAAUAUUAUAAGAUUAAUGAGAUUUACUAAUUAGAUAUACUCGCUGAUAAUGUGUUUUAUUUUAAUGAAAAGCCAUGAGAUUUAUAAGUACCCUCCUCUGCAUCAAAACAAUAAACCUGAAAUCCUAAAG
This 1378-nucleotide long non-coding RNA is filed under the name Homo sapiens (human). RNAcentral's name for it is "HSALNT0036259". The record is from RNAcentral. Lineage: Eukaryota; Metazoa; Chordata; Mammalia; Primates; Hominidae.